GAUGAAGAACGCAGCGAAAUGCGAUAAGUAAUGUGAAUUGCAGAAUUCAGUGAAUCAUCGAAUCUUUGAACGCACAUUGCGCCCGUCAGUAUUCUGGCGGGCAUGCCUGUUCGAGCGUCAUUACGCCCCUCAAGUCCCCUGUGGACUUGGUGUUGGGGAUCGGCGAGGCUGGUUUUCCAGCACAGCCGUCCCUUAAAUUAAUUGGCGGUCUCGCCGUGGCCCUCCUCUGCGCAGUAGUAAAACUCUCGCAACAGGAGCCCGGCGCGGUCCACUGCCGUAAAACCCCCCAACUUUUUAUAGUUGACCUCGAAUCAGGUAGGACUACCCGCUGAACUUAAGCAUAUCAAUAAGCGGAGGA
RNAcentral lists this unclassified non-coding RNA (358 nucleotides) under soil metagenome. RNAcentral describes it as "partial contains 5.8S ribosomal RNA, internal transcribed spacer 2, and large subunit ribosomal RNA". The stretch from base 1 to 120 matches the Rfam family "5.8S ribosomal RNA", at positions 35 to 154 of the family's 154-position model. The record is from RNAcentral.